This 119-nucleotide ribosomal RNA is filed under the name Saimiri boliviensis boliviensis (Bolivian squirrel monkey). The record is from RNAcentral. Lineage: Eukaryota; Metazoa; Chordata; Mammalia; Primates; Cebidae.
AUCUACAGCCAUACCACCCUGAACACACCCAAUCUCAUCAGAUCUCGGAAGCAAAGCAGGGUCAGGCCUGGUUAGUACUUGGAUGGGAGACCGCCUGGGAAUAUUGGGUGCCAUAGGCA